RNAcentral lists this small RNA (113 nucleotides) under Crocodylus porosus (Australian saltwater crocodile). RNAcentral describes it as "TUC338 (ENSCPRG00005002880.1)". Lineage: Eukaryota; Metazoa; Chordata; Crocodylia; Crocodylidae. The record is from RNAcentral.
CUCUUUGUCUGUAGCACAGGUAUGGUACAGGCAGAGGCAGUGCUAGCUUUCUCCUUCUGCCUUUUUAAGGCACAUAAUAUAUGACAUGAAGGGACAACCUCAAAGGGUAAAAG